This 289-nucleotide long non-coding RNA is filed under the name Mytilus galloprovincialis (Mediterranean mussel). Lineage: Eukaryota; Metazoa; Mollusca; Bivalvia; Mytilida; Mytilidae. The record is from RNAcentral.
GAAUGAUCUUUUUAGAGGAUUAGUUGUAAUAGAAAGAAAAUAACUUGCAUAAAAAAGACAAUAUAGCUGAAAAAGUCCUUAGCAACCAGUUUUACACCAUAGCAACCCCCCCCCCUUUUUCAAUAAAAAUGCAAAAAAUGUGUUUUUUGUCCAUCAUACACUAGUUUUCUUGAUUGAACAAUAAUGAUCACAUUUAGAUACAUUUAAUUACCUGACAUCAUUUAGAAAAAAAGAAUAAGUUCAACUGUUUACAUCUUAGAAACUAAUUUUACAACAUAGCAACAAUUUU